UGGAAAUGUCACCCUGCCGCCGUCCCGGGGAGCCACAGAGGAAAUCAUUAAAUUGGGAUUUUUCCCUUGCUCUCUCCCCUCCUUUGUUCCCCAGUUCCCCUCCUUUAUUCCCCAAUUCCCCAAAAAUCUGAUUAUCUCAAACUCACCCAGGGAAGGAAUUUUUCUCUAAACUCCUGGAAUAAAAGGAGGAAAUGCAUUGAAAUUUUUUUACAUUUUUUUUUCCUUUUCAGUCCAGCUGUUCAGAGAAAGGAAUGUGGAGUGAAUCUUCCUGGAAUGUCUCUUUACAAGGAGUUUUUGGAGCAGUUUAUUUUUUGUAAAUAGACACAAAUUCCUAAACUAUUAUCUCUCCAGAGAGCCUCCUCCUCCUCCCCAGUUAACUCACAUAAAAUAAAGCUUUUUAAGGCAUGAAGAAGGUUUGUGGCCUCAAACCUCCUUUAUCUCAGCCAGCUGUGUCCGUUGAGCUGAAAUAAAAAUAAAAAAUGUUAUUUUUCUCUUCAAA
Long non-coding RNA from Melospiza melodia melodia, 499 nucleotides. RefSeq lists it as uncharacterized. NCBI's taxonomy places the organism in Eukaryota, Metazoa, Chordata, Aves, Passeriformes, Passerellidae. The transcript has 2 exons. The record is from RefSeq and is a predicted model, not a curated record.